RNAcentral lists this ribosomal RNA (468 nucleotides) under uncultured bacterium. RNAcentral describes it as "partial 16S ribosomal RNA". It matches the Rfam family "Bacterial small subunit ribosomal RNA", at positions 28 to 507 of the family's 1533-position model. The record is from RNAcentral.
GACGAACGCUGGCGGCGUGCUUAACACAUGCAAGUCGAACGGAAAGGCCCUGCUUUUGUGGGGUGCUCGAGUGGCGAACGGGUGAGUAACACGUGAGUAACCUGCCCUUGACUUUGGGAUAACUUCAGGAAACUGGGGCUAAUACCGGAUAGGAGCUCCUGCUGCAUGGUGGGGGUUGGAAAGUUUCGGCGGUUGGGGAUGGACUCGCGGCUUAUCAGCUUGUUGGUGGGGUAGUGGCUUACCAAGGCUUUGACGGGUAGCCGGCCUGAGAGGGUGACCGGCAACAUUGGGACUGAGAUACGGCCCAGACUCCUACGGGAGGCAGCGGUGGGGAAUAUUGCACAAUGGGCGGAAGCCAGAUGCAGCAACGCCGCGUGCGGGAUGACGGCCUUCGGGUUGUAAACCGCUUUCGCCUGUGACGAAGAGUGAGUGACGGUAAUGGGUAAAGAAGCACCGGCUAACUACGUG